CGGAGGGAUCAUUAAAGAGUUCUAUAACUCCCAAACCCAUGUGAACAUACCUAACGUUGCCUCGGCAGGUCGCACCUACCUUGUAGCACCCUACCCUGUAGGGCCUACCCGGGAGGUGCGGGUAAGCCUGCCGGCGGCCCACCAAACUCUGUUUGAUAUUGAAUUCUGAACCUAUAACUAAAUAAGUUAAAACUUUCAACAACGGAUCUCUUGGUUCUGGCAUCGAUGAAGAACGCAGCGAAAUGCGAUAAGUAAUGUGAAUUGCAGAAUUCAGUGAAUCAUCGAAUCUUUGAACGCAUAUUGCGCCCAUUAGUAUUCUAGUGGGCAGGACCGUUCGAGCGUCAUUUCAACCCUUAAGCCUUCGUUGCUUAGUGUUGGGAGCCUACGGCAACGUAGCUCCUCAAAGUUAGUGGCGGAGUUGGUUCACACUCUAGACGUAGUAAUUUUUUAUCUCGCCUAUUAGUUGGACUAAUCCCCUGCCGUAAAACCCCCAAUUUAUCAAGGUUGACCUCGAAUCGGUUCAGACAAACUCGCUAAAUUGAAGCAUCUUAGUCAGCGAAGGAAAAGAAACCAACAGGGAUUGCCCUAGUAACGGCGAGUGAAGCGGCAACAGCUCAAAUUUG
RNAcentral lists this ribosomal RNA (623 nucleotides) under fungal endophyte. Its description in RNAcentral is "eukaryotic LSU rRNA". The stretch from base 191 to 344 matches the Rfam family "5.8S ribosomal RNA". The record is from RNAcentral. Lineage: Eukaryota; Fungi.